CGUGUGUGUGUUGUGUGAUGAAAUGAAGAUGGUGUAGUCUACUAUAUAAGGGAGAGUUGACGACGAUGACAUGGUAAGUAACUUACGGUGUGAUCAAGACGGACGGCGGAGAUCUUGUUUGCGUGAGAAUUCUAUCAAUAGCAGCGGCACGGAUAAGCUCUGAAAUACAUGCGCAGGGAGAGCAUGCCACGUGUCAAAUACGUUACGGUGUCCACGUGGCGAUAUUCAUAUGGCUGGUUGGAUAAAAUAUGCAGCCUAGAGGGUAAAUUGUAUAUUGUCACAAACUUAGAUUACAAUGCAAUGUCCAUACAUACAGAUUGUCAAAUAUGGGCAUUUCCCGUAUUUUAAAUUGAUGCGUAUAUAUAGUAUAUCACUAAUGAUUAGAGAUACUAGAUAUCUUA
Long non-coding RNA from Tarenaya hassleriana, 401 nucleotides. RefSeq lists it as uncharacterized. The record is from RefSeq and is a predicted model, not a curated record. The transcript is spliced from 2 exons. Lineage: Eukaryota; Viridiplantae; Streptophyta; Magnoliopsida; Brassicales; Cleomaceae.